Molecule: long non-coding RNA, 289 nt
Organism: Argiope bruennichi
Lineage: Eukaryota; Metazoa; Arthropoda; Arachnida; Araneae; Araneidae
Exons: 3
Source: RefSeq, a predicted model, not a curated record
AAGUCAAUAAAGAACCGUUAAAUAAAUAUAAAAAUGCAUUAGUGCAGAUUUUCCAUAUUUUAGUAUCUUUUUCAUUUGGCUACAAUGAGAAUUUUCAGAGUAAUUUUUAUUUGACGAUGAUUAAGAUCUGAAGGCAAACGUUAACCACUUAGGGAAUUUCCACCUGCAGUUUCUGCAUUGGCUUUUACGAGUAAUAAUGAGUUCUGAAGUCUAAUAGCUUACGUGUGGUGGAACACGUAGAACGGAAGACUCUAAAUACUGUGGAUCGUAAUUCUUAUUGUAACAGAAG